RNAcentral lists this ribosomal RNA (448 nucleotides) under uncultured bacterium. Its description in RNAcentral is "bacterial SSU rRNA". It matches the Rfam family "Bacterial small subunit ribosomal RNA", at positions 28 to 487 of the family's 1533-position model. The record is from RNAcentral.
GAUGAACGCUAGCGGCAGGCUUAAUACAUGCAAGUCAAGGGGGUAGCAAUACAACCGGCGCACGGGUGAGUAACGCGUACACAACAUACCAUAUACUGGAGUAUAGCUUUGGGAAACUGAAGGUAAUCCUCCAUAACAUUGCGAGAGGGCAUCUGAUUGCAAUUAAAGUUUCGGCGGUAUAUGAUUGGUGUGCGUUUGAUUAGCUAGUUGGUAGGGUAACGGCCUACCAAGGCGACGAUCAAUAGCUGGCGUGAGAGCGCGACCAGCCACACUGGAACUGAGACACGGUCCAGACUCCUACGGGAGGCAGCAGUAGGGAAUAUUGGACAAUGGAGGAAACUCUGAUCCAGCCAUGCCGCGUGAUAGAUGAAGGCCCUCUGGGUUGUAAAUAUCUUUUAUCUGGGAAGAAACACUCCUAUUCUUAGGAACUUGACGGUACCAGAGGAAU